This is a non-coding RNA of Callorhinus ursinus (northern fur seal), 1129 nucleotides long. The record is from RefSeq and is a predicted model, not a curated record. NCBI's taxonomy places the organism in Eukaryota, Metazoa, Chordata, Mammalia, Carnivora, Otariidae.
UCAUAUUGUUAACUUUUUUUCAGCAAUUUUCUUGAUAUUCAAGAGAGACAUAGUGAGAUUUUGAAUUCCAUCUUUCUGUAAUUGCCCUGUUAUAUUUUGUAAGUCACAGGCUGUUUUCCUCAAAUGUAAAAUUGUACUCACCCCUCACUUGUGGGAACUUGAACUCACCACUCACAAGUGGAAUUUGAGAGCCCACGCAGUCAUGCUUGCUCCCCUCGCCUGGGAAUGGCUAUUCAGUCACUGCUGACACAGAAUUACAAAUGACAACGUGUUAAUGUAUUUUCAGGGUCACUCAAGAAUAGUCAGAACAAUUAGUAUUGAAAUCUGUGAAUGCCUUGGGUCUACAACAGUAGCUUAUGGUGGCAUUUAUUUUAUAGUUGAAGAAAUGGAAACAGAAUAGAUAGAAUGGUCGGUCACAGGUGGGACUAGAAUGCAGCAAAAUAUGAUGGUCUGUCUGACUUUCUAUGAACUAUCUCCUGGAACUGGAAAUUCUGCGAAUGUCUGCAGAAAGCAAAACAAACAAAUAGAUACCAGAGAUUUAUGUUAACAGCUGCCUCCAGAUUAUGACAUGCCACCUUACAAUGUUUGUCAGUUUCAGAUUUGGACUUGAAGAGAAAAGGACCUGGCAAAUUCCAUGAAAAAACAAACAAACCAAACCAAGACCAGAAAAAAACCCUCUUCCUUUGUUUACAUCUCAAUUUAUCAUUUUCUGUAAUGCUUUUGUAAUUCAGAGAUGCAACCUUCUUCAGCAUAACCUCCUGCCUUCCUCCUGCCCUCCUCUGGCCCCCAAAAUGUCAUUGGAUUCUAUCCAGUGGGAAGAUAUAUGGGCUAUGAGAAGUUAAAAAAAUGUGGCACCAACUCUGCUGACUCCUUACAUUCUCCUAAGUGGGCUUUAAGCCAUCCGUUGACAUGUGUUUUUAAACAUCCUGUAAGCUAUGCCAUUUUAUCAAAUUAAAUUAAAAGCAUAAUAUAUUCUCUUACAAUGACAGAACCUGAGUCAGGACUUCCAAGUUUGUGUUGUUGUUAUUAUUUUGCUUUUUACAAAGGAAUUAAAUUUUUUUUUUCAUUAUACCUGGCAUCGCUGGUCUGCUAUGCAUAUUUAAUGUUAAUAAAGUACAUGCGUACCUUC